Molecule: long non-coding RNA, 1204 nt
Organism: Mus musculus (house mouse)
Lineage: Eukaryota; Metazoa; Chordata; Mammalia; Rodentia; Muridae
Product: predicted gene, 53535
Exons: 2
Source: RefSeq, a predicted model, not a curated record
UGCCUCCCCAGUGCUGGGAUUAAAGGCGUGCGCCACCACUGCCUGGCUCUUUCUGUAGCUCUUAACAUGGGAGUACAUGCUAUCUCUGGCUUCCUGAGUACAGUCAGCUUCUUAAACAAAGGAUGCUUGACAUUUCUCAAAGAGAACAAGAACUGACUAUUCUUUUAACACAAUCAGUUGUGAGAGUCUCAGCUCUCCUGGAAUGUUGGGCAGUACCCUAGGUUCAACUCAUGGAAGCUCUGGAAGACAAGGAAAUUAAAGCACUUAUGGAAAUUACGUCAGAAAUAGUACACACGACCCUAUUCUGACUAGGAAAGGAAGAUGAUUUAUUCUGAAAGGUUCGCACAUGUAAAGGCUGUUCAGCUGGGUACAUUCCAGACCUGCUUAGGAGAAAGGUAAGUGAUAGAACUUUCUCAAAAACAUCAUGCCACAAAACACAUUUUUUUGAAUAAGAGUGGUAUAUUUAAAAUUUUUUUUUAUGCAAAAGCAGACAUGUAACCUAAAGUAAGACUCUUCUAGCUACAUAAUGACAAGUUAGGAAACUAUUAUGGGUUAGCAGAAAUGUUCUCUAGCAAUGCCCAAAUGAUCUGAUGUUUCAUUAUUUCAUAUCUUAGGAUGUCUAACAUAUAGCAUGUUUGAUAAGUGACUGAUAGGCAUCUUGGUCACACUUCAUUACCACAAAAGCUCUUUUCCCAGUAACUAUUAUGAAAAACAGAACUUUAUUUUCUUUAUUUUCUUAGUCACCUUUUAAGACCUACCCUCUCAAAUCUGAAAGUAUUAAAAACAAAACAAGAAGAGCCAAGAGUCUUGCUGGGCAUGGUGACUCAUGCCUGCAGUCUAACAGCUGGGAAAUGGAGGAAUGCUGGUGCUGUGCCUGAAGAUGUGAGCCACCACAUUUGACUUUUUACGUGGUGAUGGAACUCAGGUGAUCAUGAUUGUGUUGCACACCUCUACCCUGUUUGUUUGUUUGUUUGUUUGUUUGAGACAGAGUCUCUCUACAUAGCCCUGACUGUUCUGGCACUCACUAUGUAGAACAGGUUGGCUUCCAAAUCACAGAAGUCCAUCUGUUUCUGGAGUGCUGAGAUUAAAGAUAUGUACCUCCAUACCCAGCUAUUUUUAAUUUGCUAUAGAAUUAUUCCUGUAAAGGUCACUGCUGACUUCCAUGCUGCUAAAUUAAAUGAUCAGCUCUUGGUUUUUAUCUUAA